RNAcentral lists this ribosomal RNA (483 nucleotides) under uncultured bacterium. RNAcentral describes it as "partial 16S ribosomal RNA". It matches the Rfam family "Bacterial small subunit ribosomal RNA", at positions 28 to 507 of the family's 1533-position model. The record is from RNAcentral.
GACGAACGCUGGCGGCGUGCUUAACACAUGCAAGUCGAACGCUGAAGCUCAGCUUUUGUUGGGUGGAUGAGUGGCGAACGGGUGAGUAACACGUGAGUAACCUGCCCCCUUCUUUGGGAUAACGCCCGGAAACGGGUGCUAAUACUGGAUAUUCACUGGUCUUCGCAUGGGGGUUGGUGGAAAGGGUUUUUCUGGUGGGGGAUGGGCUCGCGGCCUAUCAGCUUGUUGGUGGGGUGAUGGCCUACCAAGGCUUUGACGGGUAGCCGGCCUGAGAGGGUGACCGGUCACAUUGGGACUGAGAUACGGCCCAGACUCCUACGGGAGGCAGCAGUGGGGAAUAUUGCACAAUGGGCGCAAGCCUGAUGCAGCGACGCCGCGUGAGGGAAGGAGGCCUUCGGGUUGUGAACCUCUUUCGCUCAUGGUCAAGCCGCAACAAUGGUUGUGGUGAGGGUAGUGGGUAAAGAAGCGCCGGCUAACUACGUG